CACACGGCGAGGCUCAAAGGAUAUGUCUGCUGAGCUCAAGCAGCGAGCAGCUUGGAGAGCCAAGGCCAUGAUGAGAUGGCAUUUCAGUGAAUGGACUCCCCAGAAACUCCGAAAAGAGAAAAGGUCCUGGCUGGUGAGGUGCUUCUGAGGACAGCUGGCUUGACCCGUCUCUGUUCCACCUUCUCUACCCCAAGCGACGCACCGCUGCAGCCCAGCGGUCCGCUCAGUGCUUCAUAAUCAUCAAAACAAUGCCGGGGAAUGAGGAGGAAGGCUGGGGAUGGGGGGACCUCUGCUCAGGUUUUCCCUGAGAGACUUCCAGGAGUCUUCCAGACCUCUGAACAGAAAACUGAUUUAAUUAGAAGCAAAAUCCUGACGAGGAGGCUUCUGGUGGCUGUGUGGGAAGAUGAGCUGGAGCUGGGCAGGCUGGGGAGUAGUGGGCGGAUAAACACAGUUCUCUUCCCUCCGAGUUGUUACUUCUGGAAGAAUCCUUUCGAGGGAUUGAUUUUGUGUUGAAUCGCAGUUUGUUGCCUGAGGUCGGGAAGACAUUUCUCUUUUCCAAAUUAGGUAAACUGUGACCGCGGAGCCUUUCCUUUGAAACAGUUCUGGGAAGUUUCUCUGUGACAUUUGAAAGACAGUGCAUCUCUCCUUCAGAGCCAUCCUUACGAGGUCACAAAGCAGCCCGGAUGGAGAAGAGGGAGGAUUUCAGGAGGGUGAUCCCGGGGGACAGCCAGCAGUUCAAUUUUGAAGCGGAUAAUUUUCCUCUUCCCUUUCUGAUCCAUUUCCUCCCCACCCCACCUUCAGCUCCUAAUGAAAACAUGCCCUCAACCAGGCUUUGAUUUGCCCCCAUUUUUAUAUCUCUGCCUGACCUGUCCUUGUGUCCUUCCGUAGUAGACAGAACUCUGAGAUGUUCCUGCAAGAUUCCCACUCUCUGGUCUACACUCGCCGUAUAAUCCCCUCCAAUGUGGGUGGGAUGGUAAAUAUACGGAAUUUAACUCCUGUGGAUUAGGCAUCAUUAUACGAAAAAGAUGAAGGUCCCCAAAAGGUUGACUUUGAGUUACUCGAAAGGGAGAUUUCCUGGGUGGGCCUGACCUAUAGGUGAGCCCUGAAAAUGGGUUGGGCCCUUUCCGAAGGGGGUGAUCAGAAGGAACAAAUUUACCUGCUGGUUUUGAAAAAACAAACUGCCCUGUUUUGGAGAGGGACACACAGCAGAAAUCACAGGCAGCCUCGAGCAUCUGAGAGCAGCCCCCGGAUGAGAGCCACCAAGGAAAGAGAGAGCCGAGUCCUACGACCACAACUUGUUAUAUUCUGCCAAGAACCACACAAGCUUGGAAGAAGACCCGAAGCCUCAGCUGAGAACACAGCCGGCUGACACCUUGAUGUCAGCCUGAUGAGACCCUACGCAGGGAACUUGACCAGAC
This 1418-nucleotide long non-coding RNA is filed under the name Equus caballus (horse). Its description in RNAcentral is "lncRNA (ENSECAG00000045973.1)". The record is from RNAcentral. Lineage: Eukaryota; Metazoa; Chordata; Mammalia; Perissodactyla; Equidae.